UUGACGGGGACCCGCACAAGCGGUGGAUGAUGUGAUUAAUUCGAUGCAACGCGAAGAACCUUACCUACCCUUGACAUGUCCGGAACUUGCCAGAGAUGGCUUGGUGCCCGAAAGGGAAUCGGAACACAGGUGCUGCAUGGCUGUCGUCAGCUCGUGUCGUGAGAUGUUGGGUUAAGUCCCGCAACGAGCGCAACCCUUAUCAUUAGUUGCUACGCAAGGGCACUCUAAUGAGACUGCCGGUGACAAACCGGAGGAAGGUGGGGAUGACGUCAAGUCCUCGUGGCCCUUAUGGGUAGGGCUUCACACGUCAUACAAUGGUCGGUACAGAGGGUUGCCAAGCCGCGAGGCGGAGCCAAUCCCACAAAGCCGAUCGUAGUCCGGAUUGUUCUCUGCAACUCGAGAGCAUGAAGUCGGAAUCGCUAGUAAUCGCAGGUCAGCAUACUGCGGUGAAUACGUUCCCGGGUCUU
This 467-nucleotide ribosomal RNA is filed under the name uncultured Thiobacillus sp. RNAcentral's name for it is "bacterial SSU rRNA". It matches the Rfam family "Bacterial small subunit ribosomal RNA", at positions 910 to 1382 of the family's 1533-position model. The record is from RNAcentral. Lineage: Bacteria; Pseudomonadati; Pseudomonadota; Betaproteobacteria; Nitrosomonadales; Thiobacillaceae.